Molecule: ribosomal RNA, 1929 nt
Filed under: Listeria monocytogenes
Lineage: Bacteria; Bacillati; Bacillota; Bacilli; Caryophanales; Listeriaceae
Description: partial 23S ribosomal RNA
Rfam family: Bacterial large subunit ribosomal RNA
Source: RNAcentral
CUGAGUACGGCGGAACACGUGAAAUUCCGUCGGAAUCCGGGAGGACCAUCUCCCAAGGCUAAAUACUCCCUAGUGACCGAUAGUGAACCAGUACCGUGAGGGAAAGGUGAAAAGCACCCCGGAAGGGGAGUGAAACAGUUCCUGAAACCGUGUGCCUACAAGUAGUUAGAGCCCGUUAAUGGGUGAUAGCGUGCCUUUUGUAGAAUGAACCGGCGAGUUACGAUUUGUUGCAAGGUUAAGCGGAAAAAGCGGAGCCGUAGCGAAAGCGAGUCUGAAUAGGGCGCAUAAGUAACAGGUCGUAGACCCGAAACCAGGUGAUCUACCCAUGUCCAGGAUGAAGGUAAGGUAAUACUUACUGGAGGUCCGAACCCACGCACGUUGAAAAGUGCGGGGAUGAGGUGUGGGUAGCGGAGAAAUUCCAAUCGAACUUGGAGAUAGCUGGUUCUCUCCGAAAUAGCUUUAGGGCUAGCCUCGAGGUAAAGAGUCAUGGAGGUAGAGCACUGUUUGGACUAGGGGCCCUUCUCGGGUUACCGAAUUCAGAUAAACUCCGAAUGCCAUGUACUUAUACUCGGGAGUCAGACUGCGAGUGAUAAGAUCCGUAGUCGAAAGGGAAACAGCCCAGACCACCAGUUAAGGUCCCCAAAUAUAUGUUAAGUGGAAAAGGAUGUGGGGUUGCUUAGACAACCAGGAUGUUGGCUUAGAAGCAGCCACCAUUGAAAGAGUGCGUAAUAGCUCACUGGUCGAGUGACCCCGCGCCGAAAAUGUACCGGGGCUAAACAUAUUACCGAAACUGUGGAUGAACCUCUUUAGAGGUUCGUGGUAGGAGAGCGUUCUAAGGGCGGUGAAGUCAGACCGGAAGGACUGGUGGAGCGCUUAGAAGUGAGAAUGCCGGUAUGAGUAGCGAAAGAAGGGUGAGAAUCCCUUCCACCGAAUAUCUAAGGUUUCCUGAGGAAGGCUCGUCCGCUCAGGGUUAGUCGGGACCUAAGCCGAGGCCGAUAGGCGUAGGCGAUGGACAACAGGUAGAGAUUCCUGUACCAGUGCUAAUUGUUUAACCGAUGGGGUGACACAGAAGGAUAGGGAAUCGCACGAAUGGAAAUGUGCGUCCAAGCAGUGAGUGUGAGAAGUAGGCAAAUCCGCUUCUCGCGAAGCAUGAGCUGUGAUGGGGAAGGAAAUUAAGUACGGAAGUUCCUGAUUUCACGCUGUCAAGAAAAGCCUCUAGGAAGAGUAGUACUGCCCGUACCGCAAACCGACACAGGUAGAUGAGGAGAGAAUCCUAAGGUGAGCGAGAGAACUCUCGUUAAGGAACUCGGCAAAAUGACCCCGUAACUUCGGGAGAAGGGGUGCUCUAUUAGGGUGCAAGCCCGAGAGAGCCGCAGUGAAUAGGCCCAGGCGACUGUUUAGCAAAAACACAGGUCUCUGCAAAACCGUAAGGUGACGUAUAGGGGCUGACGCCUGCCCGGUGCUGGAAGGUUAAGAGGAGUGCUUAGCUUCGGCGAAGGUACGAAUUGAAGCCCCAGUAAACGGCGGCCGUAACUAUAACGGUCCUAAGGUAGCGAAAUUCCUUGUCGGGUAAGUUCCGACCCGCACGAAAGGCGCAACGAUCUGGGCACUGUCUCAACGAGAGACUCGGUGAAAUUAUAGUACCUGUGAAGAUGCAGGUUACCCGCGACAGGACGGAAAGACCCCGUGGAGCUUUACUGCAACCUGAUAUGGAAUGUUUGUACCGCUUGUACAGGAUAGGUAGGAGCCGAAGAGACGUGUGCGCUAGCAUACGAGGAGGCAAUGGUGGGAUACUACCCUGGCUGUAUGACCAUUCUAACCCGCCACGCUUAGCGCGUGGGGAGACAGUGUCAGGUGGGCAGUUUGACUGGGGCGGUCGCCUCCUAAAGAGUAACGGAGGCGCCCAAAGGUUCCCUCAGAAUGGAUGGA